RNAcentral lists this ribosomal RNA (253 nucleotides) under uncultured bacterium. Its description in RNAcentral is "partial 16S ribosomal RNA". It matches the Rfam family "Bacterial small subunit ribosomal RNA", at positions 524 to 776 of the family's 1533-position model. The record is from RNAcentral.
UACGGAGGGGGCUAGCGUUGUUCGGAAUUACUGGGCGUAAAGCGCGCGUAGGCGGAUCAGCAAGUUGGGGGUGAAAUCCCGGGGCUCAACCUCGGAAUGGCCUUCAAAACUCCUGGUCUUGAGUUCGAGAGAGGUGAGUGGAAUUCCGAGUGUAGAGGUGAAAUUCGUAGAUAUUCGGAGGAACACCAGUGGCGAAGGCGGCUCACUGGCUCGACACUGACGCUGAGGUGCGAAAGCGUGGGGAGCAAACAGG